AGUUGCCUCCCUGCACCUGAGAGCUGCAGAGGCUCCUGCCCAGACCUGGCCUCACCACCGGCCCGGCUGGCCGCCGGAGAGCCUCCUGGCGAUUUGAGCCCCAGAUCACCAUGGGCCCCUCCACCCCGGCGGGAUGCAGAGCCCUGCUGGGCUGCCUGGCCCUCCUGUGGGCCCUCCCGGUUCCCAGCGACCAGGAGGAGGUAAGGCUGGUGCAGCCGGCCCUGGUGAUGGCGCGCACCAGGGGCUCGACUACCCUGCCCUGCCGGACCUACGGCUCUGUCACCUAUGUCCACUGGUACCGCCAACUGGAGGGCCGGGCCCCCGAGAGGCUCCUCUAUCUGGCCUUGUCGAAGAGGGAUGUGCAGUGGGAUUCGGUACUGAGAGGUGAUAAAGUCAACGCCCAGGUGAACAACGAUGGCAGAAGCUGCUUCUUGUCGCUGAUGAAGCUGGAGAAGGCUGAUGAGGGCACGUACUACUGUGCUGCCUGGGACACUGUGGAAUUAUAUAAUAAAAUCUUCGGUGGUGGAACAAAACUCGUAGUCACAGAUAGAGGGUUUGAUGCAGACAUGGGCCCCAAGCCCACUAUUUUUCUGCCUUCAGUUGCUGAAAUAAACCACCAUCGGGCUGGAACGUAUCUUUGUCUUCUGGAGGACUUUUUCCCUGAUAUUAUUAAGGUUUCCUGGAAAGAAAAGAAUGACAACAGGAUUCUGCAGUCCCAGCAGGGAGACACCGUGAAGACCAGCAACACGUACAUGAAGCUGAGCUGGCUGACCGUGCCUGAAAAGUCCAUGGAUAAAGAACACGUAUGUGUCGUCAAACACAGGAACAAUAGAGGAGAAACUGGUCAAGAGAUAUAUUUUCCUUCAAUAAAUAAAGUUGUCACCUCGAUUGUCACUACUACUGAUUCUCCAAACGAUUGUUUGAAGGAUGAAAAAGAAGGCAUUGUUAGUGAUUCUACAAAAGCCUGCCCAAGAGAUGGAAGUGAAGCCACUGGAAUUAAUUCUACAAAAGCUUGCCUGAAAGAUGAAAGCAACACAGUGCGGCUGCAGCGCGAGAGCACGUCCGCCUACUACGCGUACCUCCUCCUGCUGCUCAAGAGCGGGCUCUACUUCUGCGUCGUCGCCUUCCUCCUGCUGCGGAGAACAGCCGUGUGCGGGCACGGGAAGGGCUCGUGACGGAGGGUGCCGGAGGGCCGGCUGUUCCUCACCGUCUGUUGUCUGAAAAAGACGUCUGCUGAGGACCUAGCGGGGCUUCCCUCCUGGGUUUGGGUCAUUGCAGAUAAUGUGUGUAUGUUUUUUUAAUUAUUGUAGAACAGUUUUUCAAACCGCUGGGCAAACAUAUUUUGCUCUGUAACAAGGAAUUCUGCCAUUACUCGGGGUUGGGAGGGGGCGGGCAGAGGGCAGGCCCCCGGGAGCCUUUCCCGCCUCGUCCCCACGAGCUCGUCGGCUCCUCCGGCCGCACGAGCCCCCGCCCUGAGUGCCGUCCGCCCUCGCGGCCGCCCCGACCUUCCCCGGCGCACACCCCGCGCCCGCCAGCUUUGCCACUUCAGUUCUGUACUUUGUUUUUCAUAAUAGGAACAAGAAAUUAAAAAAGAAAUCAAAAGCCCA
Molecule: non-coding RNA, 1607 nt
Organism: Camelus dromedarius (Arabian camel)
Lineage: Eukaryota; Metazoa; Chordata; Mammalia; Artiodactyla; Camelidae
Source: the annotation of a RefSeq genome assembly